ACGCGCCUCACAAACCCGUUCGUGCUCGAACAUCGACAGCGCACCCAGACGUGUGGUCUUGCUCUUCUUCCUUCCGCUCGUUCUCAGCUCUUCUUCCUCCUUACCCAGUACGACGAGCUCUGACCUCUUGUCGUGUGCCCGCCUGUGUGCCAUACACCUGGCACCCACUCCUAAACACGCACUUAUCACACCUCCAUCGCAACACCAUGCUGUCCCGUGUGCAGUCUGCGAUGAUUCGCCGCGCCGCUGGGGUGCGCGCUGCGUCGUCGGCGGCGGCUGCCGCUGCCGCGAAGCCUGCGGAGCACAAGGGCCGCGUCGGCUACGUGUCGCAGGUCAUUGGCGCGGUGGUGGACGUGCACUUCUCGGAGGGCGUGCCGCCCGUACUGACGGCGCUGGAUGUGACGGAGGACCUUGGCCGCGAUGAGCCGCUGACGCUGGAGAUCGUGCAGCACUUGGAUGCGAACACCGGCCGCUGCAUUGCGAUGCAGACGACGGACCUGCUGAAGCUGAAGUCGAAGGUUGUGUCGACCGGCGGCAACAUCUCUGUGCCGGUGGGCCGUGAGACGCUGGGCCGCAUCUUCAACGUUCUGGGCGACGCGAUCGACCAGCGCGGCCCCGUGGGCGAGAAGAUGCGCAUGGCGAUCCACGCCGAGGCCCCGAAGCUGGCGGACCAGGCCGCGGAGGACACGAUCCUGACGACCGGCAUCAAGGUGAUCGACCUCAUUCUGCCCUACUGCAAGGGCGGCAAGAUCGGCCUGUUCGGCGGUGCCGGUGUGGGCAAGACUGUGAUCAUCAUGGAGCUGAUCAACAACGUCGCGAAGGGCCACGGUGGCUUCUCCGUGUUUGCCGGCGUUGGCGAGCGCACGCGCGAGGGCACGGACCUAUACCUGGAGAUGAUGCAGUCGAAGGUGAUUGACCUGAAGGGCGAGUCGAAGUGCGUGCUUGUGUACGGGCAGAUGAACGAGCCCCCGGGUGCGCGCGCGCGCGUUGCGCAGUCUGCGCUGACGAUGGCGGAGUACUUCCGCGACGUGGAGGGCCAGAACGUGCUGCUGUUCAUCGACAACAUCUUCCGCUUCACGCAGGCGAACUCCGAGGUGUCUGCGCUGCUGGGCCGCAUUCCGGCCGCCGUGGGCUACCAGCCGACGCUUGCCGAGGAUCUUGGUAUGCUGCAGGAGCGCAUCACAUCGACGACGAAGGGGUCGAUCACGUCCGUGCAGGCCGUGUACGUGCCGGCGGAUGAUAUCACGGAUCCCGCGCCCGCGACGACGUUCUCGCACCUGGACGCGACGACUGUGCUGGACCGCGCGGUGGCGGAGUCGGGCAUCUACCCUGCCGUGAACCCGCUGGAGUGCGCGUCGCGUAUCAUGGACCCCGAUGUGAUCGAUGUGGACCACUACAACGUUGCGCAGGAUAUCGUGCAGAUGCUGACCAAGUACAAGGAGCUGCAGGAUAUCAUUGCGGUGCUUGGCAUCGACGAGCUGAGCGAGGAGGACAAGGUUGUGGUGGACCGCGCGCGCAAGGUGACCCGGUUCCUGUCGCAGCCGUUCCAGGUUGCGGAGGUGUUCACGGGCAUGACGGGCCACUACGUGCAGCUGGCCGACACGGUGGAGUCGUUCUCUGGCCUGCUGAUGGGGUCGUACGACCAGAUCCCGGAGAUGGCGUUCUACAUGGUUGGCGGCAUCAAGUCUGUUCUGGAGAAGGCGAAGGCCAUGGCGGAGGAGGCUGCAGCGAUGGAGAAGCAGCGUCGCGCGCGCCAGGCCGCGAACGCCUCGGACUCGCAGUAGGCCGCCAGCGACGCGAGACGUGAGUCCGCGGGUGCGUGCUUGACGGCGUUCGCGUGACAGCCACGGAAUGUCCCACGUGGCGAGCGCGGCGUAUCUCGUGCUCUUACAUGUUCUCUCUUCACCGCUCGCCGCCGUGUUAGCGUAUCUGUUUUGAAAAGGGAUGAAAGGCGCUGCAGCGUACCGCGAACGUACGUGUGUGAGGGAAAUGAGGGUGGCGGUGCGAGCCGAGGAUACGGGCCCCCAGCAUGACUGAAGUCAGAGGCAACACAAGCAAGAGCGGCGCACGCGCUGUGGUUGCCGCUCUUCCUCUGUUUCUUUUUGGUGUAGUUGGUGUAACUGUUGCUGAUAUCGAAGUUGUUGAUGUGAGCGGUGCUCGGAGGUGAUGUGGUUAUCGCUGUGGGCGUCACCAUUGAGUCGAGUGAGGCGUAUGCGGCGGCGUCGGCCGAUGCCCGCACACGUGCGCCCACAGACGCACGUGGCGGCAACGAGACAGCUUCACGCGCACACAUCACUGUCAUAGUGAGCACCUCGGACUUAGCACUAGUAGUAAUGACGGAUGUUCGCGUGCGCGGACGGGCACGUAAGCGGGAGGCAGGGAGUCGCAGCCCAGUGUGCGGCCCUUCCGCCAAGGAAAUGAGGAGGGCAGUGGGCGGGCGAAGGAGAGAAGAAAGCAGCAAAGGCCAAGGGUGCUGAGAAACGCUGAUCUUGACUCAGUCACUUGGCGGGAUCAAGACCCACAGACGCGUACAUGCAUACUCUGCCUGAGUGAGGCCCGCCGUUCUCUGGAACACGCACGGGAUGUGGGAACGCUCUCUCGUGGUGUGCACCUGAUAUCUCUCACUUCGCUCUCCUCUCUUGGAGGAUCCGUGAGGCAACGCGGGUCGCUUACUCUCGUCCCCUCUCCAUUCCCUGCCCCAUUCUAGUCGGGAUCAUGUGCAGCAUCAUUUACGUCUUGUACGCGUGUCGAGCACGUGUGUCUGAGCCUGUGUGUGUGUGUGCUUCAGUCCGUAAGUGGGUAUGUGGCAUGGGCCGCAGACGCCGUAGUGACCCCCCAUCCCCCCCUCCACACACACACACACACACACGACAACGUGCAGCACACGCGUGUAGGAAACCCUCUCCCGUCGGAAUUUUGAAAGAGAAACGAUCUUCUUAAAUCCUUUCACUGAAGUGUACACACGGAGCCCACGCACGCCUCUGCACAGAGACAGGCAGCACGUGCAGUAAGACUCAAAGACAUCACACCAGACCGCUCCAGCUGCAUGCGGCCACGUAGACCUGCCUCCCUCCACAGCCUCAGAGCAGUGUAGCACUCACCGCUUAUACCCUCCGAUCCCUGCGGUCGUGUACAGAUAGGUGCUUGAAGAAGGGGAUGGCGUGCUAGCGAUGGUGGGGGGCGGACCGCCAGGGC
Molecule: unclassified non-coding RNA, 3195 nt
Filed under: Leishmania donovani
Lineage: Eukaryota; Euglenozoa; Kinetoplastea; Trypanosomatida; Trypanosomatidae
Description: gene:LdHU3.25.1550(CDS-product:ATP_synthase_subun it_beta_mitochondrial_putative)
Source: RNAcentral